GAUGAACGCUGGCGGCGUGCCUAAUACAUGCAAGUCGAGCGAACAGAUGAGGAGCUUGCUCCUCUGACGUUAGCGGCGGACGGGUGAGUAACACGUGGAUAACCUACCUAUAAGACUGGGAUAACUUCGGGAAACCGGAGCUAAUACCGGAUAAUAUAUUGAACCGCAUGGUUCAAUAGUGAAAGACGGUUUUGCUGUCACUUAUAGAUGGAUCCGCGCCGCAUUAGCUAGUUGGUAAGGUAACGGCUUACCAAGGCAACGAUGCGUAGCCGACCUGAGAGGGUGAUCGGCCACACUGGAACUGAGACACGGUCCAGACUCCUACGGGAGGAAGCAGUAGGGAAUCUUCCGCAAUGGGCGAAAGCCUGACGGAGCAACGCCGCGUGAGUGAUGAAGGUCUUCGGAUCGUAAAACUCUGUUAUUAGGGAAGAACAAAUGUGUAAGUAACUAUGCACGUCUUGACAGUACCUAAUCAGAAAGCCACGGCUAACUACGUG
RNAcentral lists this ribosomal RNA (497 nucleotides) under uncultured bacterium. RNAcentral describes it as "partial 16S ribosomal RNA". It matches the Rfam family "Bacterial small subunit ribosomal RNA", at positions 28 to 507 of the family's 1533-position model. The record is from RNAcentral.